Transfer RNA from Felis catus (domestic cat), 86 nucleotides. It matches the Rfam family "tRNA". From Rfam's summary of the family: Transfer RNA (tRNA) molecules are approximately 80 nucleotides in length. Their secondary structure includes four short double-helical elements and three loops (D, anti-codon, and T loops). NCBI's taxonomy places the organism in Eukaryota, Metazoa, Chordata, Mammalia, Carnivora, Felidae. The record is from Rfam.
GCCUGGGUGGCUCAGUUGGUUUAAGCAUCUGACUUCGACUCAGGUCAUGAUCUCGCGGUUUGUGAGUUCGAGCCCCACAUCGGGCU